Molecule: non-coding RNA, 2802 nt
Organism: Aegilops tauschii subsp. strangulata
Lineage: Eukaryota; Viridiplantae; Streptophyta; Magnoliopsida; Poales; Poaceae
Source: RefSeq, a predicted model, not a curated record
GACCUCCACCGCUCUUCCACUUUCCCCUCACGGUUCGCCCCAACAGGGUAUCCCCUUAUCCUCUUUCAUCCCAGCCCCCCAAUCCCUAGCCCCUUCUUUCCAUCGUCCGUAUCGCCGCCAGCGACCAGAAGCGCUCAAGGACCUCGGCAAUCUCCUGACCCGGUGGGAUAUCGUCAACGAGCCAGACCAGAUCCACCGGAGCAAUCAAGAUGGAUAAUUCUCAACAACAAUAUCUAUAUUACUGUAUGUGGAAGCAACGCACACUACUUGUCCUUUUUGUAAUGUUGGUCCUUUGGUGGAGCAAGAAAAAAGAGAGGAAGAAUAGAGCUAAAAGUGUCAAGUAUGGUCCACUUGUCAAGAGAGAUAUUUGGAGGAGUACUGAACUAAUUAGACUGAUCGACACCUUGGAAAGGACGUGUUUGCACCAGCUCAGGAUGUAUCCGGCCGUUUUCUACAAGCUGUGUGCUCACCUUAGGGACAAAAAUCUUUUGGUUGACACAAUUCAUGUGUCCGUAGAGGAGCAGCUAGCUAUGUUUCUGAAAAUUGUUGGGCAAUAUCACACUCAUUCCUCCGUAGGAUUUGCAUUGUGGCGAUCUAAAGAGACAGUGAGUAGGUAUUUUAACAUCGUCCUAUGUGCCCUUGUGAAGUUAGCCCGUGAAAUAAUCUGUACUCGGUCUACAGAUACACAUGCUAAGAUCACUACCAACCCAAACAGAUUGUAUCCCUACUUUGAGGGAUGUAUAGGGGCACUAUAUGGCACCCAUAUUAGGGAACGUGUGCCUUCAAAAUAUGUGGACAGGUUUAGGGGCCGCAAGCCAUAUCCCACACAGAAUGUCCUAGCUGCUGUGGAUUUCGAUCUUAGAUUCACGUAUGUUCUAGCAGGGUGGGAGGGAUCUGCUCAUGAUUCUGCUGUAUUGCAUGAUGCCCUAUCUCGACCAAACGGUCUCAAAAUUCCAGAAGGAAAAUUUUAUUUGGCUGAUGCUGGGUAUGCCACCAGGCCGGGCAUAUUGCCACCUUAUCGAGGUGUUCGCAAUCAUCUGCAGGAGUUCCAUGGUCCGAAUCGUCCAACCUCUCCAAAAGAGUUGUUCAACCACCAUCAUUCCUCACUAAGGACAACGGUCGAGCGAGCCUUUGCAGCUAUUAAUAAUCGUUUCAAGAUUCUUAGUAAUAGACCUUUCAUACCCUUGAAAUCACAACCCAAGGUGGUUAUUGCUUGUUGCGUCAUUCACAACUGGAUUUUAGACAACGGACCCGAUGAGUUUGUAGAUGACGAACCGACUUGGUACCACCACCUGCCAGGGAGUAGCAAUCGUGUCUCUGACCGAGAGAGUGAUGUACACGAGUGGGCAGCCAAGCGUGAUUCGAUUGCCCAACAGAUGUGGAAUGAUAGAGAAAGAUUGGCGAACAAUGAUGCUUCGGACAGCAGGAGCAGUGCUAGUACCAUUUGAAACUACUUUGUUGUAGUACAUCUCCCUCAUUUAGCAGUUCCAUGUUUAGACAUUUUGUGUUAAUCUAGCUCUGUAAUUUUCUUUUCCAUGUAUUGUGCAACUUUACUUUUAUUUUGGAAUGUACUGUUGGGUAAUGUAUGGAUUGACUGGUUGUGCUGAAACCCUUGUAUAUUCGCUGACAUAAUAGCAUAUUGACUUCUGACCUUCAUUUAUAGAAUGGGUGAGCAAAAAGAAGGUGCCAAGCAUGAGGUUGCUCGCUCUCGUGAUAAUUACAUGUCAUGGAGUGAUGAUUGUACCAAGUAUAUGCUAGAGUGGUAUAUCGAGAAGCAAAGGGACAAGCCACCAACCUUCAAGUGGAAGGCACAACACCAUCUACAAUGUGCUAAUGAUUUGAAUGACAAGUUUGGAAUUACAGCUACAGCGAAACAAGUUCAUCGACACUUUAGGUCAUUCAAGGAGAAAUGGAAGUGGAUAAAGCUAGCAAAGGGGAGGAGUGGAUAUGGUUUCGAUAAAGUACUUAACAAAUUUAACAUUGACAAGUCAGAGAAAUCACCAAGCAAGCUUGGCAAAAUAAAAUUUCACUACCUUACUCAUUCCAUCAAGUUUUAUCAUCUCUUGGAAGAACUGUUUAGUGACUCGUCUCAUGCGGAUGGCACACUAGGUAUUGAUGUGAAUGAUGCAAGUGAGAAUGUGGAAUCUGAUGGUAGUAGUGAAACAAGCAGCCACACAUCCACUGCUGAACAAGGUCUUAGUGAUUCCGACAUGAUUGCACCCAACAGUCCAGCAGAAGGCACUAGAUCAAAUCUGAAGCGCAAGCAUGUUAGAGCACCACAUAAGAAGAAACCAAAGGUCAAGGCACGUCGAGCCAGAGUGUUAGAUGAUGAUGUGGCAGCGAGCAUUGUGAGUCUUGCUGAAACUGUGAAAUCUGCCGCCCCUAUUCAGCCAAUAGCAGCUGCAGACCAUAAUGCCAAUCUUUGGAAGCACAUUGAGUCGCUAACUCUCCCAGCAAAUGAGAAAAUUGAGUUAGCAACCUAUCUUGCUAAGCCAGAACAAGAAGUUUUUCGUGUUUUCUUGAACUGUGCUAGCGACCAGACUUUUAAUGCUUGGGUCCUUGAUUAUUUCGCGCACAAGUACGACGGCAAAGAUCGUGCAGCUGCUGAUCCAUCAAUCUGAAUGACAUGUUUGGUGGCUUUCUUUUGGCAAGUGCUUUUGUAGUCUACUUAGCUCCUUUCCAUGCACUUAUGCUAAGUGGAUUCCUGUGCUCUAAGGGUGUUUAGAGGGUCUUACCUUUUGUAAUGCAUUGCUGUAGCACAAAUCUGAAUUAACUUGAUGGUGGAUGGCCUUGUGCAUGCUA